Molecule: ribosomal RNA, 395 nt
Filed under: uncultured bacterium
Lineage: Bacteria
Description: bacterial SSU rRNA
Rfam family: Bacterial small subunit ribosomal RNA
Source: RNAcentral
GUGCCAGCCGCCGCGGUAAUACGGAGGGUGCAAGCAUUAAUCGGAUUUAUUGGGCGUAAAGGGCGCGUAGGCGGCUUUGUAAGUCAGAUGUGAAAUACCGGGGCUUAAUCCCGGUGCUGCAUUUGAAACUACAAAACUUGAGGAUAGACGGAGAAAACGGAAUUCCACAUGUAGCGGUGGAAUGCGUGGAUAUGUGGAAGAACACCUGUGGCGAAAGCGGUUUUCUAGUUUAUAUCUGACGCUGAGGCGCGAGAGCAAGGGGAGCAAACAGGAUUAGAUACCCUGGUAGUCCUUGCCGUAAACGAUGUAUACUUGAUGUAGUUGGUCUCAACCCCGACUGUGUCGUAGCUAACGUGAUAAGUAUACCGCCUGAGGAGUACGCUCGCAAGGGUGAA